CCCUUAGAUGUUCUGGGCCGCACGCGUGCUACACUGAUGCAUUCAACGAGUCUAAAACCUGGUCUGAUAGGGCUGGGUAAUCUUUUGAAAGUGCAUCGUGAUUGGGAUAGAUUAUUGCAAUUAUUAAUCUUCAACGAGGAAUGCCUAGUAGGCGCAAGUCAUCAGCUUGCGUCGAUUACGUCCCUGCCCUUUGUACACACCGCCCGUCGCUCCUACCGAUUGGGUGUGCUGGUGAAAUGUUCGGAUCGGCCGUUUGUCGCGGUUUCCGCGUCAUGUGGCUGAGAAGUUCAUUAAACCCUCCCACCUAGAGGAAGGAGAAGUCGUAACA
Molecule: ribosomal RNA, 328 nt
Filed under: uncultured eukaryote
Lineage: Eukaryota
Description: partial 18S ribosomal RNA
Rfam family: Eukaryotic small subunit ribosomal RNA
Source: RNAcentral